RNAcentral lists this ribosomal RNA (479 nucleotides) under Comamonas aquatica. RNAcentral describes it as "bacterial SSU rRNA". It matches the Rfam family "Bacterial small subunit ribosomal RNA", at positions 37 to 513 of the family's 1533-position model. Lineage: Bacteria; Pseudomonadati; Pseudomonadota; Betaproteobacteria; Burkholderiales; Comamonadaceae. The record is from RNAcentral.
UGGCGGCAUGCCUUACACAUGCAAGUCGAACGGUAACAGGUCUUCGGAUGCUGACGAGUGGCGAACGGGUGAGUAAUACAUCGGAACGUGCCUAGUAGUGGGGGAUAACUACUCGAAAGAGUGGCUAAUACCGCAUGAGAUCUACGGAUGAAAGCAGGGGAUCGCAAGACCUUGUGCUACUAGAGCGGCCGAUGGCAGAUUAGGUAGUUGGUGGGAUAAAAGCUUACCAAGCCGACGAUCUGUAGCUGGUCUGAGAGGACGAUCAGCCACACUGGGACUGAGACACGGCCCAGACUCCUACGGGAGGCAGCAGUGGGGAAUUUUGGACAAUGGGCGCAAGCCUGAUCCAGCAAUGCCGCGUGCAGGAUGAAGGCCUUCGGGUUGUAAACUGCUUUUGUACGGAACGAAAAGCCCUGGGUUAAUACCCUGGGGUCAUGACGGUACCGUAAGAAUAAGCACCGGCUAACUACGUGCCAGCA